UCCUGAAUAGACUAAAUUAGAAUUGACCCCAACACUGAUUGUUGAUCAACUUGAUAACGAACAUCAUUAUUUUAAUUUGAAUAUUCAAAAUACUAUAAAUAUAGAAUGUUAUUAUUCCCCUCUGCUCCACAGGCAUGGCAUGGCAGCUCCAGCAGGGAGACUUUGAAAGCAGCAGCCUUUGCACCUUCUUCUCUGUCAUCCGUCCCAAAGGCAUCAUUGUGGUGUUCUGUGCCGUCUUCUUCCCCGUCCUCUCUGUCUUCACCUACUUCUACCUGGACAUUCUGAAGAUAGCUUGCGGCCAUCAGAGGCAGAUCCGCCAGGCCCGUCAGGCCGGCUCCAGGCUGCCCCAGCGCAGCCGCUACUGGGGCCACAUCAAGGCCCUGAGGACCGUGGCUCUGUUGGUGGGCUGUUUCACCCUCUGCUGGUGCCCUUUUUUUGUGGUGUGUGCAGUGCAGGUGCUGUGUGAGGCCUGUGAGUUGUACAAGGUGCUGGAGAAUGACCUGUGGCUGCUGGGGCUGUCUAACUCCCUCAUCAACCCUCUGGUGUACGCCUGCUGGCAGAGGGAGGUGCGGCUGCAGAUCGGGGCCCUCUUCUGCUGUGUUAAGGACAGGGUCAGGAACACAGCCGUGUUAGAGGCUAGUGAGAGAUGUCAGACAGAGCUGCGUAUACCCACUCAUACUGUUAUAUCUGUGGACGAUGCCAUGAGCCUGGACCCCACCCUUCACACGGUCACCAGUGAAGAGGGCCACACUGUACCGUUUUCUGCCUCAACCCCCUUGUGAAUGACUUAGACAUUUUGAGAACAUCUCAUUGAGGUUGAUCGAACCAAUUUGGAAAAUGCUUAAUGUGGCAGCUUAGAGCUUUGUCCAUUUCUGGCAGAAACAGUUCACGUCACGUCUAGCGACAGCAACUUUCUGACAUAAUCAAUCAAAUGGGGAAAAAAUAACAGAGUGAGAUAAUGGAUGUGGAGACAUCAUGGAACCUAAACCAUGGAACAGAUGGGCUUAUUUGCUUUUUUUGCUCUGUUUCCUCCACUAACCUAAUUGAUAUUAUCUCUGCCAAGUAUGCACUUUGUCCCUCUCUGCAUUCCCAUCAACCUCACUGUCUAUGUGUGUCUGAGAGGUGUGUAGGUGUUUUGAAGGGGAACAGCUUUUGUGUGUACACAUGGUUGUUCCCUGAUCAGUCAGGGAUUAUAUAUUUUUAAAAAUUGACAAAGUAUUUAAUUUCUUGGGAAAGUAGUGUGUAUUACUACCACCACUAGGGAGGUACAUGGUAAAUGUGUUUUAUUGCCAAUACUUCCUACAAAGGAUUAACUCAUAAUGUCAAUGUAGAAUUGCUUUAUAAUUUUCUCAUAAAUUACCAUAGUGGAAAUAUAUGAUAAAACCUUGAUAUGAGGUAGGUAGAAUAUUAUUGUUAGAAUGGUUGCUAUUCAAAAUAAAUGACAGAAUGCUUGGAUGAUUGAUUAUUCAUUCAUGAGCACUUCCUUGUCAUAUAAACACUUAUUUUUAGGAUAAAUAAGUUCAUAUUUUACAACUAGCCAAUAAAAUUACACUUUGUGAUAUGAGGAAUGAUGGUGCUAUAAAAGUAGAUUUCAUAUAGAAAAGACAUAAUAAAAGUCAGUGUUUAGGCCAAUGCGGCCAUCAGUGGCAUUGAAGAGAGCUUUUGCUUAAUCACAAAAUACCAUUGGAAUUGAAUAAUUGAAUUGAAUAUUGAAAUGCAGUUGUUCUGUGGGACUUGUUUGUACGAUUUCUAUAAUAAAAGUUGUUCAAUACUGAGAACAAGGGAGCAUGCCUUUGAACUACACCUCCCACAAACCCCUGUACGUAGUAUGACGCGACGGAAACUGAUGUUGGUCAGGGGGGCUCCAUUUUAAAGUUAGCAUCGUAUUUGCGUUCAUGAUAACUUCAUAAUGAAUCCCCUAACCAAGGUGAAACUGAUCAAUGAGCUGAAUGAGAGAGAGGCCUCAUUGGGGGUGAAGGAAAAUGUGUCAUGGCACUGAGUAUAAGGAUAGCGCCUGGAUUUUCAUCGGUAAAAGGCUGUGUCAAAGACACCCCUGCGAUUGAAUAGGAUUGAUCCAAACCCUGCUAUUACAGCCAUGUUUAAGGUGGGUUUCCAUAUGAGCUGACGGAAGGUGACAUCGUCUGUGUCUUCUCUCAGUGAGUCCCAUACAUACACCCCUUCCUCCAAUCACUGUCCUUUCUCUCCCCAUUCUUCAUCGUCUGUGUCUUCUCUCAGUAUGGAGAGAUGGCCAACAUCAACCUAGUGCGUGAUAAGAAGACGGGUAAAUCCAAAGGCUUCUGCUUCAUCUGCUACGAGGACCAGAGGAGCACCAUCCUGGCUGUGGAUAACUUAAAUGGGAUCAAGGUAAAG
Oncorhynchus keta (chum salmon) is the source of this 2370-nucleotide RNA transcript. It is a transcript of the gene named RNA-binding motif protein, X-linked 2-like, with no coding region annotated. NCBI's taxonomy places the organism in Eukaryota, Metazoa, Chordata, Actinopteri, Salmoniformes, Salmonidae. The transcript is spliced from 4 exons. The record is from RefSeq and is a predicted model, not a curated record.